UACAGAGGGUGCGAGCGUUGUUCGGAAUUAUUGGGCGUAAAGCGCAUGUAGGCGGUCUGUUAAGUCGCGUGUGAAAGCUCCAGGCUCAACCUGGAAAGUGCGCGCGAAACUGGCGGACUUGAGUGCCGGAGAGGGUGGCGGAAUUCCCGGUGUAGAGGUGAAAUUCGUAGAUAUCGGGAGGAACACCAGAGGCGAAGGCGGCCACCUGGACGGACACUGACGCUGAGACGCGAAAGCGUGGGGAGCAAACAGG
RNAcentral lists this ribosomal RNA (253 nucleotides) under uncultured bacterium. Its description in RNAcentral is "partial 16S ribosomal RNA". It matches the Rfam family "Bacterial small subunit ribosomal RNA", at positions 524 to 776 of the family's 1533-position model. The record is from RNAcentral.